GACGAACGCUGGCGGCGUGCCUAAUACAUGCAAGUUGAGCGCUGAAGGUUGGUCCUUGUACCAACUGGAUGAGCAGCGAACGGGUGAGUAACGCGUGGGGAAUCUGCCUUUGAGCGGGGGACAACAUUUGGAAACGAAUGCUAAUACCGCAUAAAAACUUUAAACACAAGUUUUAAGUUUGAAAGAUGCAAUUGCAUCACUCAAAGAUGAUCCCGCGUUGUAUUAGCUAGUUGGUGAGGUAAAGGCUCACCAAGGCGAUGAUACAUAGCCGACCUGAGAGGGUGAUCGGCCACAUUGGGACUGAGACACGGCCCAAACUCCUACGGGAGGCAGCAGUAGGGAAUCUUCGGCAAUGGACGAAAGUCUGACCGAGCAACGCCGCGGGAGUGAAGAAGGGUGUCGGAUCGUAAAACUCGGUUGGUAGAGAAGAACGUUGGUGAGAGUGGAAAGCUCAUCAAGUGACGGUAACUACCCAGAAAGGGACGGCUAACUACGUG
This 497-nucleotide ribosomal RNA is filed under the name uncultured bacterium. RNAcentral's name for it is "partial 16S ribosomal RNA". It matches the Rfam family "Bacterial small subunit ribosomal RNA", at positions 28 to 507 of the family's 1533-position model. The record is from RNAcentral.